UAUUCCAUUGCCAAGCGUCAUCCUUUGAUUGGCCAACAAAAUAUUCUACCCGUGUGUGCGGAUCUGCCACCUAUCGGGUCUGUGGAGAGUCAAAAAUGUGUACGGUUAGGAGUCCCCAACGCUGUACAAGUGAAUCCGAAACAUACUUGCUACGUUGGUAAAGGUGAGGACUAUCGAGGGACACGCGCUCACACAGAUUCUGAACUCGCUUGCCAACAUUGGAGUCAUCAGAUUU
Molecule: unclassified non-coding RNA, 235 nt
Filed under: Limulus polyphemus (Atlantic horseshoe crab)
Lineage: Eukaryota; Metazoa; Arthropoda; Merostomata; Xiphosura; Limulidae
Description: inactive tyrosine-protein kinase transmembrane receptor ROR1-like, transcript variant X1
Source: RNAcentral